RNAcentral lists this ribosomal RNA (253 nucleotides) under uncultured bacterium. Its description in RNAcentral is "partial 16S ribosomal RNA". It matches the Rfam family "Bacterial small subunit ribosomal RNA", at positions 524 to 776 of the family's 1533-position model. The record is from RNAcentral.
UACAGAGGGGGCAAGCGUUGUUCGGAAUUACUGGGCGUAAAGGGCGCGUAGGCGGCCUUCUAAGUCAGACGUGAAAUCCCCAGGCUCAACCUGGGAACUGCGUCUGAUACUGGAUGGCUUGAAUCCGGGAGAGGGAUGUGGAAUUCCAGGUGUAGCGGUGAAAUGCGUAGAUAUCUGGAGGAACACCGGUGGCGAAGGCGGCAUCCUGGACCGGUAUUGACGCUGAGGCGCGAAAGCCAGGGGAGCAAACGGG